CUACGGGUGGCAGCAGUGGGGAAUAUUGCACAAUGGGCGCAAGCCUGAUGCAGCCAUGCCGCGUGUAUGAAGAAGGCCUUCGGGUUGUAAAGUACUUUCAGCGGGGAGGAAGGGAGUAAAGUUAAUACCUUUGCUCAUUGACGUUACCCGCAGAAGAAGCACCGGCUAAAUCCGUGCCAGCAGCCGCGGUAAUACGGAGGGUGCAAGCGUUAAUCGGAAUUACUGGGCGUAAAGCGCACGCAGGCGGUUUGUUAAGUCAGAUGUGAAAUCCCCGGGCUCAGCCUGGGAACUGCAUCUGAUACUGGCAAGCUUGAGUCUCGUAGAGGGGGGUAGAAUUCCAGGUGUAGCGGUGAAAUGCGUAGAGAUCUGGAGGAAUACCGGUGGCGAAGGCGGCCCCCUGGACGAAGACUGACGCUCAGGUGCGAAAGCGUGGGGAGCAAACAGGAUUAGAUACCCUAGUAGUC
RNAcentral lists this ribosomal RNA (464 nucleotides) under uncultured bacterium. RNAcentral's name for it is "partial 16S ribosomal RNA". It matches the Rfam family "Bacterial small subunit ribosomal RNA", at positions 339 to 795 of the family's 1533-position model. The record is from RNAcentral.